AGUGAACGCUGUCGGUAGGCCUAACACAUGCAAGUCUAACGGCAUCACAGUAAGACCUUGCUCUUCCGGGUGGCGAGUGGCGGACGGGCGCGGAAUACAUCGCACUCUACUUUUUAUUCGAGGAUAACGUAGGGCAACUUACGCUAAUACCUCAUACUACCUACGGCUGAAACCAGGGGAUCUUCGGACCUUGCGCGAUUGAAUGAGCCGAUGUCAGAUUAGCUAGUUGGCGGGGUAAAGGCCCACCAAGGCGACGAUCCGUAGCUGGUCUGAGAGGAUGAUCAGGCACACUGGAACUGAGACACGGUCCAGACUCCUACGGGAGGCAGCAGUGAGGAAUAUUGGACAAUGGGCGCAAGCCUGAUCCAGCCAUACGGCGUGGGUGAAGAAGGCCUUCGGGUUGUAAAGCACUUUUGUUGGGAAAGAAAAGCAGCAGGUUAACACCCCGCUGUGCUGACGGUACCCAAAGAAUAAGCACCGGCUAACUUCGUG
Molecule: ribosomal RNA, 492 nt
Filed under: uncultured bacterium
Lineage: Bacteria
Description: partial 16S ribosomal RNA
Rfam family: Bacterial small subunit ribosomal RNA
Source: RNAcentral